Molecule: ribosomal RNA, 254 nt
Filed under: uncultured bacterium
Lineage: Bacteria
Description: partial 16S ribosomal RNA
Rfam family: Bacterial small subunit ribosomal RNA
Source: RNAcentral
UACGUAGGGAGCAAGCGUUGUCCGGAAUCAUUGGGCGUAAAGCGCGCGUAGGCGGCCCCGUAAGUCCGCUGUGAAAGUCAAAGGCUCAACCUUUGAAAGCCGGUGGAUACUGUGGGGCUAGAGUCCGGAAGAGGCGAGUGGAAUUCCUGGUGUAGCGGUGGAAUGCGCAGAUAUCAGGAGGAACACCGAUGGCGAAGGCAGGUCUCUGGGCCACUACUGACGCUGAGAAGCGAAAGCAUGGGGAGCGAACAGGA